UGGGAUGAAAAAAAAAAAAAUAACAAGGUUUCCGUAGGUGAACCUGCGGAAGGAUCAUUACAGUAUUCUUUUGCCAGCGCUUAACUGCGCGGCGAAAAACCUUACACACAGUGUCUUUUUGAUACAGAACUCUUGCUUUGGUUUGGCCUAGAGAUAGGUUGGGCCAGAGGUUUAACAAAACACAAUUUAAUUAUUUUUACAGUUAGUCAAAUUUUGAAUUAAUCUUCAAAACUUUCAACAACGGAUCUCUUGGUUCUCGCAUCGAUGAAGAACGCAGCGAAAUGCGAUAAGUAAUAUGAAUUGCAGAUUUUCGUGAAUCAUCGAAUCUUUGAACGCACAUUGCGCCCUCUGGUAUUCCAGAGGGCAUGCCUGUUUGAGCGUCAUUUCUCUCUCAAACCCCCGGGUUUGGUAUUGAGUGAUACUCUUAGUCGGACUAGGCGUUUGCUUGAAAAGUAUUGGCAUGGGUAGUACUAGAUAGUGCUGUCGACCUCUCAAUGUAUUAGGUUUAUCCAACUCGUUGAAUGGUGUGGCGGGAUAUUUCUGGUAUUGUUGGCCCGGCCUUACAACAACCAAACAAGUUUGACCUCAAAUCAGGUAGGAAUACCCGCUGAACUUAAGCAUAUCAAA
RNAcentral lists this ribosomal RNA (627 nucleotides) under Meyerozyma guilliermondii. RNAcentral's name for it is "eukaryotic LSU rRNA". The stretch from base 230 to 383 matches the Rfam family "5.8S ribosomal RNA". Lineage: Eukaryota; Fungi; Ascomycota; Pichiomycetes; Serinales; Debaryomycetaceae. The record is from RNAcentral.